AAACUAUCGAAGAUUUCAAUUUCCUAAGUUUUUUCUAGGUCACACCCAUUUUUUUCCUGGGGCCAUUAGCUCAGGUGGUUAGAGCGCACCCCUGAUAAGGGUGAGGUCCCUGGUUCAAGUCCAGGAUGGCCCAUAUCUCUAUUGGGGGUAUAGCUCAGUUGGUAGAGCGCCUGCUUUGCAAGCAGGAUGUCAGCGGUUCGAGUCCGCUUACCUCCACUGAAUACCACCUAAUUCAUUUAAGAGGGGAUUUAUUUGGGUAUGCCUUAAAUCUGGGAGAAUCUAGCUUCCUGUUAAUUUAAUUAAUAAGAUGCUGGAUUCACUGAAUUACACAAUUCAAUGAUUCCAGAGAACCUUGACAACUGCAUAGAUUUAAUUUUCAAGACAAUAAGCAUCUUUUAAGAUGCAGAUUUAUUAUUGGUGCUAAUGCAUUAAUAACAAUUCUAUUGAGCUGAUGCUUCAAAUUUUUUGAAGUUAUU
This 476-nucleotide transfer RNA is filed under the name uncultured Prochlorococcus sp. Its description in RNAcentral is "partial 16S-23S ribosomal RNA intergenic spacer". The stretch from base 144 to 216 matches the Rfam family "tRNA". The record is from RNAcentral. Lineage: Bacteria; Bacillati; Cyanobacteriota; Cyanophyceae; Synechococcales; Prochlorococcaceae.